GACGAACGCUGGCGGCGUGCUUAACACAUGCAAGUCGAACGGAAAGGCCCUGCUUUUGUGGGGUGCUCGAGUGGCGAACGGGUGAGUAACACGUGAGUAACCUGCCCUUGACUUUGGGAUAACUUCAGGAAACUGGGGCUAAUACCGGAUAGGAGCUCCUGCUGCAUGGUGGGGGUUGGAAAGUUUCGGCGGUUGGGGAUGGACUCGCGGCUUAUCAGCUUGUUGGUGGGGUAGUGGCUUACCAAGGCUUUGACGGGUGGCCGGCCUGAGAGGGUGACCGGCCACAUUGGGACUGAGAUACGGCUCAGACUCCUACGGGAGGCAGCAGUGGGGAAUAUUGCACAAUGGGCGGAAGCCUGAUGCAGCAACGCCGCGUGCGGGAUGACGGCCUUCGGGUUGUAAACCGCUUUCGCCUGUGACGAAGCGUGAGUGACGGUAAUGGGUAAAGAAGCACCGGCUAACUACGUG
Molecule: ribosomal RNA, 468 nt
Filed under: uncultured bacterium
Lineage: Bacteria
Description: partial 16S ribosomal RNA
Rfam family: Bacterial small subunit ribosomal RNA
Source: RNAcentral